This 252-nucleotide ribosomal RNA is filed under the name Veillonella atypica KON. RNAcentral's name for it is "partial 16S ribosomal RNA". It matches the Rfam family "Bacterial small subunit ribosomal RNA", at positions 524 to 776 of the family's 1533-position model. The record is from RNAcentral. Lineage: Bacteria; Bacillati; Bacillota; Negativicutes; Veillonellales; Veillonellaceae. RNAcentral also lists the same sequence under 2 other names.
UACGUAGGUGGCAAGCGUUGUCCGGAAUUAUUGGGCGUAAAGCGCGCGCAGGCGGAUCAGUCAGUCUGUCUUAAAAGUUCGGGGCUUAACCCCGUGAUGGGAUGGAAACUGCUGAUCUAGAGUAUCGGAGAGGAAAGUGGAAUUCCUAGUGUAGCGGUGAAAUGCGUAGAUAUUAGGAAGAACACCAGUGGCGAAGGCGACUUUCUGGACGAAAACUGACGCUGAGGCGCGAAAGCCAGGGGAGCGAACGGG